CAAAGUAAUUAUUAGAUAAAUUUUUCAUUUACAAUGAAAAAGGUUUUGUGCAAUUCAAAAUGCUUUGA
This 68-nucleotide transfer RNA is filed under the name Lynceus grossipedia. Its description in RNAcentral is "tRNA-Val". Lineage: Eukaryota; Metazoa; Arthropoda; Branchiopoda; Diplostraca; Lynceidae. The record is from RNAcentral.